This 208-nucleotide long non-coding RNA is filed under the name Mytilus galloprovincialis (Mediterranean mussel). Lineage: Eukaryota; Metazoa; Mollusca; Bivalvia; Mytilida; Mytilidae. The record is from RNAcentral.
UGCGAAACUUGGUGAUACAUACAAAUUGUGUUGUUUUCUAUCAAUAUGCCUUUGAAUUAAUGUCAAAAAUAAUUAUCUCAAGCGAAAACUACAGGAAAAUUGUUACUGUUCAGAGAAAUAACAAAUUUUUCCAAUAAAUUAUAUAAAACAUGAUAAAAGACAAUAACAUACAAAUAAAUCAUUUUGGACCAGAAAAGUGAUCCCAAAC